AUGUUGUCAAGGAUUCAGAUGAGCCACCCCAGUCUCGGACAACUCACUCUAAGCCACACAACUAGUUCUGAAGAGUAUGGAGCCUACAUAGAGUCAUAAGAUAAGGAAACUGAGGCACAGAAGCAAGGCCAUCCAGUGCGGGAAUUUACACCAGUCUGAUGAUAAAGCCCACAUCCAACCAUUGCGAUAUAUUGCCUUAAAAUAAAUCAACUGACUUUUUAAGAGUAAUAACUCUUUGUCAACAUGUAGAUUACAGUAAUGAAGAGAUGCUCUGAACUCUUGUAUUCCCAGAUUAGAACUUCUGUGUAUUUCAGCAUUUAUGUCAUUUCUUGUUGAAAUCAGUCAUUGUCAAUAGAACU
This 359-nucleotide long non-coding RNA is filed under the name Ailuropoda melanoleuca (giant panda). RNAcentral describes it as "lncRNA (ENSAMEG00000028327.1)". Lineage: Eukaryota; Metazoa; Chordata; Mammalia; Carnivora; Ursidae. The record is from RNAcentral.